AAAAUUGAUGAUGGCUAGACCAAGUAUUCAUGUCUUCAUGUUCUGUCUACUUUUACUACUUUCUUCCAAUCUCAUGGUUAUAACUACUCAUGGCUUUUUCCUUUACCCUAGAAUACAUGUUUUCAUCAAGAAUGGUUUAUCCCAAGGUACAAUUCUAACUCUUCAUUGCAAAUCCAAAGACGAUGACCUUGGUGUUCAUUAUCUCAACUACGAAGAGGAAUAUACUUUUUCAUUUCACUAUAAUAUUUUUGCUCUUCAAGGAUAUACAUUGUUUUUUUGCGGCUUCACAUGGAAUGGUAAAUUGCAUUGGUUUGAAAUUUAUAAUUGGAAGAGAGAUCAUCGUGAAUCGUCACAUUUAAGAUGGAGCAUAAAAGAAAUUACUCCUUGUUUGUUCAAUUAUAAUACACAUAACUAUGAUAUCUGUGACUAUGCUUAUACUUAUAGCCCACUUGAACUUGUAGAAUCUAUAUAUUGAUAUCGAGCGAAAAUUGAGUUGUUUCAAUGUAAUAUCUAUUAUUAAUAUGAAAAUAAAUGUGCUUUUGGCAAUAAUUUAAUGGGUAUGUUAUACAAUGCUAGCUUUCCUACGAUUUGUUAUUUAGGUUUUGUUUCUAAAUUCUGCAUAUCAUUAAGCAUUGCGAGUGUUCAUACAUGAAGAAGAAAAUGGAGAGAGAAAACUCAAAAUAGUUGAGUUUAAUAAAACGUGGAAUGCUGAACAAUGUUUAUUUGAUCGUAAUAAUCAAAUAAUUUUAUUUAUAUUCUGUUUUGAAUUAUUUAUGAUUUCUUAGUUUUAGGCAGUGAUCAUUAUUGAUAUAAAUUUGCAGAAUUAUAAUUAAUAAAUUUAUGGAACAAUAAUAAUUAAUUCAACUUAUAUUUUAUUACAAGUGUAUGGAUAUUGAGUCAAAAUUCUCCCAUUAAUUUUAUACAUGGAUUUCGUUUUUCUAAUUUUAUUAUAACUAUGCUUACAUAGUGCUAGAAGGAUAUAAUAACUACAUGUAGGAAGAUCCAUUCUCAUCAUAAAUUAUUUGGCAUGUUUAAUUGUUGAACAUAUAUAUUUUACGUCAUUAAUCAUAGUAUUAGAAUCCUUUCGAAUCAUAAAUUAUUACCUUAUUAAUUAUUGACAUGAUUCAGCUGAUAGUUACAUUUUAGAAGCUAAAAUUAUUAGUCAGAUUACUCUUGAAUGUCUUUUAUUUCAUUUUUAAAAAAUUAAACAAUUAUUCCCCAUAAUUAAUUUUGGGAUUUGAUGAAUGAUUGUAUUUGUGAUUAAAUUUGUCUUUAAUCUUUAUUAUGCAUGAUUGUUGUUGAAUGUCUUUUAUUUCGUAUCUUAAAACAUUUUUUUUUAUGCAAAGGUGGCAAAACACCCACUAUAUAUUAAUAUUGAGAAGCAUUACAUGGAGAACAAUUACAACUUCCUAAACCUAUAGUUAGGCCUACCUGCCAAUUUUUUGGGAAUUCAUUACUGAUGAAAGAUGACAUUACAUUCCACAAACUAUUUAAUCUAGAUAUGCUAUCAUAAUUAGCCAGUUGGUUCACACAAGUGUUACUUUCCCUGAAAAUGUUCCCCACAAUUAAUUUUGGGAUUGAUCAUAUUUUCAUUUUCAAUUAAAUAUGUGGUUUUCAUUUUCUAACAUAAAAUAAAAUCAUGUUAAAAUAAUAUUACUUUAUGAUGUAAUAGAAUUAAUAAGAUACGUAAGAUACAUAUCCAUCAAACAAACUAGCUCUCCUAUAGUCUCCUUCAACUUUAGAAUCUACUCUCAUAUAUAAGUGAGUAACAAUCAAGACAACAAAUUUAAUUCUAAUCUAUCUUGAUCUAUAACACAAACCAAUAACUCAAAUAAUAAACUUUAUCUCUUUUAAAACAAAUAUAUUCACUUCUUAAUUAAUAGUGCACACAUCUCGGCUUCUCCUUAAUUUUCCCCUAAAAAUAGUCACGUAAUCUAACAAUGAACACUUGCACACUAUAUUCAUCUUCUACUAUCUACAAAAGAGACUAUUAUCAUUAAAUUAAUCUUUUAUCUCUCUAUUCUUAUUUCAUUUCAAUUAAUUUUUUAAUAUUCUCUUCUUUUAAAUAGUUUGUUUUUCCAUUUUUACCAACGGGGCAUUGAUUCAAGUGAUACAUGCUAGAUUUUCCUUAAACAAUGUAUCGGGUUCGAGUCUUGUGGAUGGAAAAAAUGCCCACUGGGAGAGUUAGCCUCACGUACCUGUGAAUGUUCCCAGUUCGGACAUGAUUGCCUCUAGUGGGAGGAUACUUGUGGGAAACAAAAAAAAAACUAUUUCUCCUACAUUUUUUCAUCUUUAUUAAACAUAUAUAUUCUCUUCCAAUGUCAAACAAGAUAUCUAUUAACUACAUAACAAAAAAGUUAUUGUCAUGUCAUCAUGGACAAAUGUCAAUCUCUUCUUAAUUUUCUUCCCCCAAAACAGCCACAUAUGCUUAUAGUAAGCUCUCACAUACUUUAUUCAUCUUCUACAAUCCAAAGAAGAAAUUAUUUUUGGGUCAUCAUCUGUUGUACCACAAGAGUAUGUCACUUAAUGUGUCCUUGUUCUAAUUGAUUGAAAAAUAUAUAUUUAAUUUUAAAAUUUAAUGAAAUUAUUUUUAUGACCAAUCACUGAAAGUGACAGAGAGUGUCACACUUUUUGGGAUAGAAGACACACUAUUUUCAUCAAAUUAAUCUUGCAUCUCUCCAUUCUUAUUCAUUUGACUUUACUUCUAAAUUAACUUUUGGGACAGAAGCUGAUCUGGCAAUUAUGUUUUUGUUAUAAGUUAAUCAAUUAUGAACAAUGCUUAAUUGAUUAAUUUGGCAUUUUUCAGCAAGUGUGUAAAAACUAAAAAGUGGAACUUCAGCCCCGCCACACCUAUUCAACCCCCUUCUAGGUGUAUUCUGUCAGUGAUACAUAACAUAAUUCUCCUACAUUUUUUUCAUCUUUAUUAAACAUGCCUAUUCUCUUCUAUCCUCAAACAAGAUAUGAUUUUAUACUCAUUUCAUUAUUCAUAUUUUGUAGUCUUCAUCAUUCAUGAUUCGACUCAAUGAGAUCUUCACUAGUAGAUAUAGUUUUAUUUCAUUUUUCAUCAAACAAAGAGAUAAAAAAACCUUAAAAUAAAAAAACUAAUAUAAUUUUGAACAUAUUUGAAUUCUCACAACUAUCACGAGGGUUUAUCUAUACAUACUAAAGUUUUAGAUCUUAGAAUAUGUAGUAAUUACAUAUUUAAGGAGUAGAUCUUAUAAAAAAUCUCAAUAAAUAUCAUUUAAUCAUAUUUUAAAACUUAAAUAGUAAGAAUCCAAUGUUAUUAUUAAUAAAAUGAACUAUAAUAUUACAAUUAAUAAGGAAAUCUGUUGAUAUUCCAUCUCACUUAAAAAAUGAUACACAACGAUUUUAUUUCAAAUUAAUCAUUUUUAAUACUAAUUAUUUAAAUAGAUUUUACAACGUUCUCGAUUAAUAUUAUUUAAUUGUUUUUAAAACUUAAGUAGUAGGAAUUUAAUCAUAUUAUUAAUAGAAUGAGUUGUGAUAUUACAAUUAAUAAGGAUAUUUGUUGAUAUUCUAUCUGACUUAAAAAUAAAAUUAUUGUGUAGAGAUAAAAAUAAAAAUAUUGUAUUCAUUAUAUGAUAAAUUUUAUUAUUAUUAUAGCAACUAAGCAUAUUAAUAUUUUUUUAAUUUUUAAUUUACGAAUUUGUUCAAAUCAGAAAAAAAUAGAGGGAAUUUUCUAAAAAAAUAACAUCUUUGAGAAUUGAUUUUAAUGUGAUAAAGGAGUUACAUUUAUAUAAAAUAUUAAAAUAGCAGUCUACCAAUGCUAAUGUUAUUUUUAUUUUGAAAUCAUAUUAUUCUUCUACCUAUAUUUAUGGCUUAUAAACAAUAUAUUGGAUUUGAUUUGAUUGUGAUAAUAAAUUGAUUUGUUUUAUAUUUGGUUCAUACUUUAUUUAUUUACUUUUGAUUGCUUAAUUUAAGGAAUGCUCAUUAUUGAUAUAAAUUUAGAAAUAUUCAUCGUACAUACUUUGUGAUAAUGGCUUUGUUAAAUUUCAUUCAAAACCACCUAUUGAAAAAAUUCACCAAAGUAUAAUUAAUUGUUUAUUUAUAAAUAUAAUUACUAUUUCUUUCAACUAGUAAUUUAAUAACUCUAUUGAUUUAAUUGUCAACAUAAAUUACAUAAUGACUUGCAUGUAAAUCUUUUUUUGGUAUAUUGGAAAUAAACACAAUCCAUGUAUAUUUUAUUACCUGAAAUAACUUUUAUGUAUAAAUACAGUGUGAUAACAUCACAAAAUCUCUAACCUUGAUAACUUAGCAAAAUUGAUGAUGGCUAAACCAAGUAUCUAUGUCUUCUUGUUCUGUCUACUUUUACUACUUUCUUCCAAUCUCAUGGUUAUAACCACUCAUGGCAUAUCCCUUUACCCUAGAAUACAUGUUUACAUCAAGAAUGGUUUAUCCCAAGGUACACUUCUAACUCUUCAUUGCAAAUCCAAAUCCAAAGACGAUGACCUUGGUGUACAUUAUCUCAACUACCAAGAGGAAUAUACAUUUUCAUUUCACUAUAAUAUUUUUGCUCUUCAAGGAUAUACAUUGUUUUUUUGCGGCUUCACAUGGAA
Molecule: long non-coding RNA, 4574 nt
Filed under: Lupinus angustifolius (narrow-leaved blue lupine)
Lineage: Eukaryota; Viridiplantae; Streptophyta; Magnoliopsida; Fabales; Fabaceae
Description: long non-coding RNA (LANG_LNC001486)
Source: RNAcentral